Molecule: long non-coding RNA, 1207 nt
Organism: Mus pahari (shrew mouse)
Lineage: Eukaryota; Metazoa; Chordata; Mammalia; Rodentia; Muridae
Exons: 3
Source: RefSeq, a predicted model, not a curated record
UUCCAGAGAACCUGGGUUCAAUUCCCAGAACCCAUGUCAGGCAGCUCAUAAUUGCCUGCAACUCAAGCUGCCUCUGUUUUCUAUAGGUACCCACAAACUUGGCAUCAACUCACAGAGACACACGCAUGAUUGGAAAUAAAAUCUUUAAGGAAACCCCCCUCAGUUUCAUUGACAUGUUAGGCAAACAGGACUCACUCUCCAUUUACUGCCUGCUGCCGUUGUUCCCUAUGAGCAUUUGAAUUUGAAAUCUGCUUCUUUUAAAAUUGAGACAGGGCCUGGUACAGCCACCACUUGCUCCAGUCAGUUAAGACCUGGUAAGAGACAAAGGCUGGACCAUUGAUCUCCGAGGACACUUUUCUGCUCUGCUCUGAUGCCCUCCUUGGGCCAUAUCCAGGUCUUUGGAAAGGAAAUGUCCCUCAGGCUGUGUGGUCAGAGGACAACUUGGGAGAGAGAGUCACUGAUCUCUUCCUGCGUAUGGAUUCCAGGGCUUGCACGUGGUCCUCAGCUUGGCACAGUACAGCCUUCUCCACUGGGUCACCUUGCCAGCCUACUGUGUGCUACCUGAGUCUUUCUCUUCUGGUCCCUGGAGCUGCGGAAGCCGCAGGUUACCGUGCAGACAUGGCCAAGUCCAAGAACCACAACACACACAACCAGUCCCGAAAAUGGCACAGAAAUGGCAUCAAGAAACUCUGGUCGCAAAGAUAUGAAUCUCUUAAGGGGGUUGACCCCAAAUUCCUGAGGAACAUAAGCUUUGCCAAGAAGCACAAGAAGAAAGGCUUGAAGAAGAUGCAGGCCAACAAUGCAAAGGCAGUAGUGCACGCGCAAAGGCCAUCGAGGCCCUUAUGAAGCCUCAGGCCAUCAAGAACAAGAUGCCAAAGUGCCCCAGCGCAAACUCAGCCGCCUGGCUUUCGUCAGUCACCCCAAGUUUGGGAAGCAGAUUCGAAGCUACAUGGCCAAGGGUCAGAGGCUCUGCCAACUUCGAGAAGCCUAAGGUUCAGACCAAGGGAGGGGCCAAAGCUCCAGCAAAGGCCCAGGCUUCAGCUCCAGCCCAGGCUCCCAAAGGUGCCCAGGCCCCUGUGAAGGCCCCAUAGAAAAGGCUCCUGCCAGUGUGAAGGCAGAUGGACUGCUGUGACACAGCUACCCACACACUAUUUGCAGAUGACCAGUGUCCUAUUCUGUUUUUACAGAUAAACUCAGGCAAGAUCUG